Molecule: ribosomal RNA, 440 nt
Filed under: uncultured bacterium
Lineage: Bacteria
Description: partial 16S ribosomal RNA
Rfam family: Bacterial small subunit ribosomal RNA
Source: RNAcentral
CCUACGGGGGGCUGCAGUGGGGGAUAUUGCACAAUGGGGGAAACCCUGAUGCAGCGACGCCGCGUGGGUGAAGAAGCGCCUCGGCGCGUAAAGCCCUGUCAGCAGGGAAGAAAAUGACGGUACCUGAAGAAGAAGCCCCGGCUAACUACGUGCCAGCAGCCGCGGUAAAACGGAGGGGGCACGCGUUAUCCGGAUUUACGGGGUGAAAAGGGGGCGCAGACGGCGAUGCAAGCCAGGAGUGAAAGCCCGGGGCCCAACCCCGGAACUGCUCUUGGAACUGCGUGGCUAGAGUGCAGGAGGGGCAGGCGGAAUUCCUGGUGUAGCGGUGAAAUGCGUAGAUAUCAGGAGGAACACCGGUGGCGAAGGCGGCCUGCUGGACUGCAACUGACGUUGAGGCGCGAAAGCGUGGGGAGCAAACAGGAUUAGAUACCCGGGUAGUC